Molecule: ribosomal RNA, 95 nt
Filed under: Acanthosepion pharaonis
Lineage: Eukaryota; Metazoa; Mollusca; Cephalopoda; Sepiida; Sepiidae
Source: RNAcentral
GUUAAAACACCGGUUUCCGUACGAUCACCGAAGUUAAGCAACGUCGAGCCUUGUCAGUACCUAGAUGGGUGACCUCUUGGCAAUACCAGAUGCCA